Molecule: non-coding RNA, 51 nt
Filed under: unclassified sequences
Description: Xanthine-I sequence
Rfam family: Xanthine riboswitch aptamer (NMT1 RNA)
About the family: Later it was reported as a ncRNA that recognised Xanthine.
Source: Rfam by way of RNAcentral
CCCCGGAGUAGAAGCAGUCAGCGCCCCCAGGGUGCGGUCAUUGCUCCCCCA